RNAcentral lists this transfer RNA (65 nucleotides) under Andrena semilaevis. RNAcentral's name for it is "tRNA-Phe". Lineage: Eukaryota; Metazoa; Arthropoda; Insecta; Hymenoptera; Andrenidae. The record is from RNAcentral.
AUUUAAAUAGCUUAAUUUUAGAGCAUAAUAUUGAAAAUAUUAAGGUAAUGUUUUAUUUUUAAAUG